This 330-nucleotide unclassified non-coding RNA is filed under the name soil metagenome. Its description in RNAcentral is "partial contains 5.8S ribosomal RNA, internal transcribed spacer 2, and large subunit ribosomal RNA". The stretch from base 1 to 120 matches the Rfam family "5.8S ribosomal RNA", at positions 35 to 154 of the family's 154-position model. The record is from RNAcentral.
GAUGAAGAACGCAGCGAAAUGCGAUAAGUAAUGUGAAUUGCAGAAUUCAGUGAAUCAUCGAAUCUUUGAACGCACAUUGCGCCCCCUGGUAUUCCGGGGGGCAUGCCUGUUCGAGCGUCAUUUCACCACUCAAGUCUCGCUUGGUAUUGGGCAACGCGGUCCGCCGCGUGCCUCAAAUCGACCGGCUGGGUCUUCUGUCCCCUAAGCGUUGUGGAAACUUUCGCUAAAGGGUGUUCGGGAGGCUACGCCGUAAAACAACCCCAUUUCUAAGGUUGACCUCGGAUCAGGUAGGGAUACCCGCUGAACUUAAGCAUAUCAAUAAGCGGAGGA